This 1939-nucleotide ribosomal RNA is filed under the name coral metagenome. Its description in RNAcentral is "bacterial LSU rRNA". It matches the Rfam family "Bacterial large subunit ribosomal RNA", at positions 3 to 1988 of the family's 2925-position model. The record is from RNAcentral.
UUAAGUAACUAAUGGCUUACGGUGGAUACCUUGGCAUUCAGAAGCGAUGAAGGGCGUGACUACCGACGAAAUACUAUGGUUAGCUGGAAGUAAGCUUUGAUCCAUAGGUACCCUAAUAAGUCAACUUCUUGUACUAUUUACUGAAUUUAUAAGUAAAUGAGAGCAAACCUGGUAAAUUGAAACAUCUUAGUAACCAGAGGAAAAGAAAGCAAAAGCGAUUCCCUUAGUAGCGGCGAGCGAAAAGGGAACAGCCUAAACCACUUUAAUGAGUUCUAGUGGGGUUGUGGGACAACUAUAAUAGUAUUAAAUACUAGAUGAAAUAAUUGGAAUAUUAUAUCAAAGAAGGUGAUAAUCCUGUAAUCGAAAGUUUUUAUAGCUAAAGUUGUAUCCCAAGUAGCAUGGGGUACGUGAAAUCCCGUGUGAAUCAACGAGGACCACCUCGUAAGGCUAAAUAUUACUGGAUGACCGAUAGUGAACUAGUACCGUGAGGGAAAGGUGAAAAGAACCCCGGGAGGGGAGUGAAAUAGAACAUGAAACCGUAAGCUUACAAACAGUGGAAGAAUGACUAAACGUUUAACCACGUGCAUGUUGAAGAAUGAGCCGACGACUUGUAGGUAGUGGCAGGUUAAGAUUAGUUAAAUUGGAGCCAUAGUGAAAGCGAGCUUGAAUAGAGCGUUUGUCACUAUUUACAGACCCGAACCCGGAUGAUCUAGCCAUGGCCAGGGUGAAGCUUAGGUAACACUAAGUGGAGGUCCGAACCGACUGAUGUUGAAAAAUCAGCGGAUGAGUUGUGGUUAGUGGUGAAAUGCCAAUCGAAUCCGGAGCUAGCUGGUUCUCCCCGAAAUGCGUUUAGGCGCAGCGUUUGAUGCUUUAGCUUAGGGGUAAAGCACUGUUUCGAUGCGGGCCGUGAGAAUGGUACCAAAUCGAUGCAAACUCUGAAUACUAAGUGUGUAGUCAAUCAGUGAGACAGUGGGGGAUAAGCUUCAUUGUCAAAAGGGAAACAGCCCAGACCACCAUCUAAGGCCCCUAAAUAUAUACUAAGUGAUAAAGGAUGUGGGGAUGUAUAGACAACCAGGAGGUUUGCUUAGAAGCAGCAACCCUUUAAAGAGUGCGUAAUAGCUCACUGGUCAAGUGAUCCUGCGCCGAAAAUGAAAGGGACUAAGUAUAUUGCCGAAGAUGUGGGAUGUUUUACAUCGGUAGGGGAGCGUUCUGUAUUAGGUAGAAGCGUGAGCGAGAGCGGACGUGGACAAAUCAGAAGCGAGAAUGUCGGCUUGAGUAGCGAAAACAUUGGUGAGAAUCCAAUGCCCCGAAAACCUAAGGUUUCCUCUGGAAGGUUCGUCCGCAGAGGGUGAGUCAGGACCUAAGGCGAGGCUGAAAAGCGUAGUCGAUGGAUAACAGGUUAAUAUUCCUGUACUAUUUAUUAUUGGUAUCGAGGGACGAAAAAGGCUAAAUCAGCCGGAUGUUGGUUACCGGUUUAAACUUUUAAGGUGAUGAUAAGUGGGGAAAACAUUUUGAGCUAAAGAGUGAAUACAAGGUACUCAAGUACUAAAGUGAUUGAUGCCAUAUUUCCUAGAAAAGCUUGUAAUAUCUAGAAUAAUAAAUACCUGUACCAUAAACCGACACAGGUGGGUAAGUAGAGAAUACUAAGGGGCGCGAGAUAACUCUCUCUAAGGAACUCGGCAAAAUAGCCCCGUAACUUCGGGAGAAGGGGUACCCUAUAUAGGGUUGCAAUAACUAGGCCCAAGCGACUGUUUAUCAAAAACACAGGUCUCCGCUAAGUUGUAAGACAAUGUAUGGGGGCUGACGCCUGCCCAGUGCCGGAAGGUUAAGGAAGUUGAUAAGCCAUAGAGUGAAGUUGAUAACUGAAGCCCCGGUGAACGGCGGCCGUAACUAUAACGGUCCUAAGGUAGCGAAAUUCCUUGUCGGGUAAGUUCCGACC